RNAcentral lists this ribosomal RNA (785 nucleotides) under uncultured Glomus. RNAcentral's name for it is "SSU rRNA". It matches the Rfam family "Eukaryotic small subunit ribosomal RNA", at positions 328 to 1115 of the family's 1831-position model. The record is from RNAcentral. Lineage: Eukaryota; Fungi; Glomeromycota; Glomeromycetes; Glomerales; Glomeraceae.
GUAGGAUAGAGGCCUACCAUGGUGGUAACGGGUAACGGGGUGUUAGGGCACGACACCGGAGAGGGAGCCUGAGAAACGGCUACCACAUCCAAGGAUGGCAGCAGGCGCGCAAAUUACCCAAUCCCGACACGGGGAGGUAGUGACAAUAAAUAACAAUACGGGGUUCUUUCGGAUUUCGUAAUUGGAAUGAGUACAAUUUAAAUCUCUUAACGAGGAACAAUUGGAGGGCAAGUCUGGUGCCAGCAACCGCGGUAAUUCCAGCUCCAAUAGCGUAUAUUAAAGUUGCUGCAGUUAAAAAGCUCGUAGUUGAAUUUCGGGACCAAUAUGUCGGUCGUGCCUCGGUACGUACUGGCAUCGUUGGUUUCUCCCUUCUGACGAACCAUGAUGUCAUUCAUUUGGUGUCGUGGGGAAUCAGGACUGUUACUUUGAAAAAAUUAGAGUGUUUAAAGCAGGCUCACGCUUGAAUACAUUAGCAUGGAAUAAUGAAAUAGGACGUUUGAUUCUAUUUUGUUGGUUUCUAGGAUCGACGUAAUGAUUAAUAGGGAUAGUUGGGGGCAUUAGUAUUCAAUUGUCAGAGGUGAAAUUCUUGGAUUUAUUGAAGACUAACUACUGCGAAAGCAUUUGCCAAGGAUGUUUUCAUUAAUCAAGAACGAAAGUUAGGGGAUCGAAGACGAUCAGAUACCGUCGUAGUCUUAACCAUAAACUAUGCCGACUAGGGAUCGGAUGAUGUUAAUUUUUUAAUGACUCAUUCGGCGCCUUACGGGAAACCAAAGUGUUUGGGUUCA